AUUGAACGCUGGCGGCAGGCCUAACACAUGCAAGUCGAACGAGUGGCGGACGGGAGGGCUAGGUCUGGGAAACUGCCUGGGGGAUGGGGUUAAGUACUGGAAGCGGUAACUACUACCGCAUACCUUCGGAUGGGCCGGGGUGGGAUUAGCUAGUUGGUGGGGUAAAGGCUCACCAAGGCGACGAUCCCUAGCUGGUCUGAGAGGAUGAACAGCCACACUGGAACUGAGACACGGUCCAGACUCCUACGGGAGGCAGCAGUGGGGAAUAUUGCACAAUGGGCGCAAGCCUGAUGCAGCCAUGCCGCGUGUAUGAAGAAGGCCUUCGGGUUGUAAAGUACUUUCAGCGGGGAGGCGUUACCAACAGAAUAAGCACCGGCUAACUUCGUGCCAGCAGCCGCGGUAAUAC
Molecule: ribosomal RNA, 406 nt
Filed under: uncultured bacterium
Lineage: Bacteria
Description: partial 16S ribosomal RNA
Rfam family: Bacterial small subunit ribosomal RNA
Source: RNAcentral